AACGAACGCUGGCGGCAUGCCUAACACAUGCAAGUCGAACGAACCCUUCGGGGUUAGUGGCGCACGGGUGCGUAACGCGUGGGAAUCUGCCCUUGGCUUCGGAAUGACAGUUAGAAAUGACUGCUAAUACCGGAUGAUGUCUUCGGACCAAAGAUUUAUCGGCCAGGGAUGAGCCCGCGUAGGAUUAGGUAGUUGGUGGGGUAAUGGCCUACCAAGCCGACGAUCCUUAGCUGGUCUGAGAGGAUGAUCAGCCACACUGGGACUGAGACACGGCCCAGACUCCUACGGGAGGCAGCAGUGGGGAAUAUUGGACAAUGGGCGCAAGCCUGAUCCAGCAAUGCCGCGUGAGUGAUGAAGGCCUUAGGGUCGUAAAGCUCUUUUACCCGGGAUGAUAAUGACAGUACCGGGAGAAUAAGCUCCGGCUAACUCCGUGCCAGCCGCCGCCGUAA
RNAcentral lists this ribosomal RNA (449 nucleotides) under uncultured bacterium. Its description in RNAcentral is "partial 16S ribosomal RNA". It matches the Rfam family "Bacterial small subunit ribosomal RNA", at positions 29 to 523 of the family's 1533-position model. The record is from RNAcentral.